RNAcentral lists this transfer RNA (74 nucleotides) under Spirochaetaceae bacterium. RNAcentral's name for it is "tRNA-Met". It matches the Rfam family "tRNA". Rfam says of the family: Transfer RNA (tRNA) molecules are approximately 80 nucleotides in length. Their secondary structure includes four short double-helical elements and three loops (D, anti-codon, and T loops). Further hydrogen bonds mediate the characteristic L-shaped molecular structure. tRNAs have two regions of fundamental functional importance: the anti-codon, which is responsible for specific mRNA codon recognition, and the 3' end, to which the tRNAs corresponding amino acid is attached (by aminoacyl-tRNA synthetases). tRNAs cope with the degeneracy of the genetic code in two manners: having more than one tRNA (with a specific anti-codon) for a particular amino acid; and 'wobble' base-pairing, i.e. permitting non-standard base-pairing at the 3rd anti-codon position. Lineage: Bacteria; Pseudomonadati; Spirochaetota; Spirochaetia; Spirochaetales; Spirochaetaceae. The record is from RNAcentral.
UGCAGGGUAGUAGCAGUUGGCAGCUCGUCGGGCUCAUAACCCGGAGGUCGCAGGUUCGAGUCCUGCCCCUGCAA